GGCUCCAUUAGCAACUUCAAUCAAUUAUACAUAUUUAUUAAUUCAUAAAAUACCGUUUUAUCAUUUAUUAGGCUUUAAUGUCGUGAUAGGAAAUAGGGUGGGAGAUCCUUACUUGUUUUCAGAAUCUGAAAUCGGGUUUUCACUGCGCCUACAGGCAGCCCCUAGAUUCCUUGAAUUUUUUCUCCCGAAAACUGAAACACACUUCCGGCACCUGCAGAUGUCCCCAAAAAACCCCAAAUCAGACCCAGGGCCCUUUCGGCCAAUUUUAAAAUUUUGACACGGCGGCUCCGCCGUGCUCUAGCGACGGCACCACCGCCCAUGGCUGUGAUCAGUCUCGGGUUGGCCGUUUUCAACCGAAUUCAGCCAAACUCGCAUUGGUUCCUGUGAUAAAACACCCCUAGGGCUCUCGGUGGGCCAAAAAAUUCCAGAAAACUGAGACUUACCGGCUUCGAAGCUCUCGGGUACGACGGCUCCUCCGGUGCGAGUUGCAAUUCGGUGUUUUGCUCCAGUCAACCUGUAAAGAAAAUGACGAUGGUCACAGUGGUAUAAAAAUUACAUCGUACGAAAAAUGGGAAGGGCCUCAUCGGAGGCAAAAACUAAGGAAACCCGUGGCGGCGCUGCUGGACUUUGGCGAUGUUUUUUGGCCAAUCGGCUGGUGGUUUGGCUCUGAUUUGACCACAGGAAGGUUCGGCAUCAAAAAACGAGCCAUGGGGAGAAAUUUUACCUCGUUUGGCGGCUGGGAAUUCCUCCGGUGCUGCAGCGGGUGGCGGUGGCCGGUUCCUCCGGUGGCUGGAUCGUCUUCUCCGGUGAGGGUUCUGGCGGCUAGGGUUUGGGAUUGGGUGUGGAUGCAAUUAUUCAUAACCCUCCCCUUUUAAUCUGAGUCGUCCAUCAUGAUUUAAUCUGGGUCGUCCGAUCGCAAUUAAAUUAGAAAUAAAUCUGGACCGUCCAUCGCGAUACGAUCUGGACCGCCUGUGCGUGAUCAAAUCUAGACCGUCCGCUCACAU
Molecule: long non-coding RNA, 1004 nt
Filed under: Carica papaya (papaya)
Lineage: Eukaryota; Viridiplantae; Streptophyta; Magnoliopsida; Brassicales; Caricaceae
Description: long non-coding RNA (CPAP_LNC012308)
Source: RNAcentral